CCUGUCUGUGGUGUGCAAUUUGAGAUGUCUGGGUGCUACAAAACUGGCUGAAAGCAGAAGUGAUUCUUUCUGAAUAAACAAUGUAGUUUGCUCAUAUGUAUCACAGAAACACGAUGUUAUUACUUGUGUUUCCACAGUGAUUUGUUGGUUUUCCAGUGCAAGAGUGAUCCCUCCUUCAUUUUUACCAAAAAGAGAUUUCCUCCAUUUCUGCACUUUUUGCCCUCUGGAAUUUCAUUUGCAAGGGCAGAUAAGGGGAAAAGAAUGUAAUAAGAGAUGAGGAAAAAAAUAAGCCCUUGCUGAAUGAUUGAUAUGAAUGAAGGAACUGAUGGAAUAAAUAACAAAAAUAAGAAGAUCCAGGACUACUCUCAGUCUCUGAAGCAGGUGGGAGCCCUGGCGGUAGCUAUGGAUCCAGUUCAAAGGAAUAUGAAAGGCACUGCUUUCCCAUCAAAAAGGAAGAAGAAAGGCAAUACUUGCAACCAAUGAUAAAGAGGUAUUCUGACUUUCAUCUGCCUUUGUGUUAAGCGUGAGAGAGCCAGACAGAAUUGCAGCAGGAACCAGAAGGAGCAAAGAAAAAGAUUACUGUUUCUUUUAUAAAAUGGUUUUUAUCCUACUGGUGUCUCUUUAAAAAUAAAAAUCAACAAAUAAAUGUCCAUUUAAAUUGAUCUUCUGUUGGACUAUGUUAUUGGUCUGACAUAUAAAUUAGUGCUUCUAAGAUUUAACUAUGUGACUGAGAACCAAUAAUAUUUUAUGGAGAGUGUCAAAUGGCUUGCCUUUACAGCAAUUCUUUUCACUGUAUCUAUUUUUUUUAAUAUGGAUGAUGGAAACCACUUUAAUCAAAAAGAUAAUAAUACUUAUUUGGAGGUAUGAUAAAGCAAAUGUCUUUGGCCACAUGCUGUUAUUGGAAUUUAAGGGCUAUUAUCUUUUGUAGGACAAUUUUUAAAAUACAGUUUAUUCUACUCAGUGCCCUAAGUCUGUUUCUUACUAGCCAUGACCUUGAGAAGCUGACUUUACCUCUCUAAGCCAUUCUCCUCCUCUGUGAAGUGGGAAUGUUAAUACCCACUCUUGUUACUCUCAGAGUGCAAUGAGGAUCAAUGAGAAGAUAAAAAUAAAUGUGUUUGGUUAACUAUGAAAUACCACGUGAAUGUUAAUAUUAUGAAUUAUUUAUAGACCAUACACUUGAUGGAGGCAAAAAGUAGACCUUUGUUGUUCCCAUGAAACCAUAGUAACUUCCACAGUGCCUGACAAGAAGUAAGAAAGCAAUAAAAGUUUGUUGAAUUUAAUAUGCCCUGAGAAGUAUAAUUAUAAAAAUGAUUGCAUGUAAAAAUAUCAAUAAAAUACAUACUAAACCACCAAACAGA
RNAcentral lists this long non-coding RNA (1358 nucleotides) under Pan troglodytes (chimpanzee). RNAcentral's name for it is "lncRNA (ENSPTRG00000053084.1)". Lineage: Eukaryota; Metazoa; Chordata; Mammalia; Primates; Hominidae. The record is from RNAcentral.